Molecule: ribosomal RNA, 275 nt
Filed under: Bacillus subtilis
Lineage: Bacteria; Bacillati; Bacillota; Bacilli; Caryophanales; Bacillaceae
Description: partial 16S ribosomal RNA
Rfam family: Bacterial small subunit ribosomal RNA
Source: RNAcentral
UUAGCGGCGGACGGGUGAGUAACACGUGGGUAACCUGGCCUGUAAGACUGGGAUAACUCCGGGAAACCGGGGCUAAUACCGGGAUUGGUUGUUUGAACCGCAUGGUUCAAACAUAAAAGGUGGCUUCGGCUACCACUUACAGAUGGACCCGCGGCGCAUUAGCUAGUUGGUGAGGUAACGGCUCACCAAGGCAACGAUGCGUAGCCGACCUGAGAGGGUGAUCGGCCACACUGGGACUGAGACACGGCCCAGACUCCUACGGGAGGCAGCAGUAG